This is a long non-coding RNA of Daktulosphaira vitifoliae (grape phylloxera), 586 nucleotides long. RefSeq lists it as uncharacterized. Lineage: Eukaryota; Metazoa; Arthropoda; Insecta; Hemiptera; Phylloxeridae. The transcript is spliced from 4 exons. The record is from RefSeq and is a predicted model, not a curated record.
UUUUUGUAUAUUACAUUACUUUAUAUUCCUAUUUAAUAUAAUAUAAUUUUAACUGAAUUAAAUAAUCAAAAAAAAAUUGUUGAGGCACAUUUACAAACAAUUUUUAUUUUUUAAACAUGUUUUAUAAAAUAAAUUUUCUUUUUUUAGUUGUCGCGUGUGAAAAUAUUUUUGCCGCGACGAUUUUUAUUAAUCCAGAUGAAGUAAUAAUUAAAAAUGAUUCAAUUUCUCGAUUGGGAUAUAGUAAUGAUGCUCAGUUAAAAAUGGCUCAACACAGUACACGAAAAGUAGUUUCUGUAAAAUGUGGUAUUUUAAAAUUGGUAUGAAAUUAAUUUAAGAAUAUAACUUGAAUUUAAAUUUAUAAUAAAAUAUUGUACAGGGCAUAAAAACAGAUAUGGAGUGGAGUACAGUCUUAAACAGUUCCCCAAUACUUUGAAUAUUUUUAUUUCAUAAAGUAUAUACCACCACAUUUUAUCUGUUGUAAAUUUUACCAAAUAUUGAAUGCGAUUAGGUUGGGGGCGGUGUCGUAUAGACUUUUAAAUGUCAUCUAGUUUUUAGUCGGAAAUCGAACGUCGUUUAUGACGCUGGC